UACGUAGGGUGCAAGCGUUGUCCGGAAUUAUUGGGCGUAAAGAGCUCGUAGGCGGUUUGUCGCGUCGAAUGUGAAAACCCGGGGCUCAACCCCGGGCCUGCAUUCGAUACGGGCAGACUAGAGUUCGGUAGGGGAGUCUGGAAUUCCUGGUGUAGCGGUGAAAUGCGCAGAUAUCAGGAGGAACACCGGUGGCGAAGGCGGGACUCUGGGCCGUAACUGACGCUGAGGAGCGAAAGCGUGGGGAGCGAACAGG
This 253-nucleotide ribosomal RNA is filed under the name uncultured bacterium. RNAcentral's name for it is "partial 16S ribosomal RNA". It matches the Rfam family "Bacterial small subunit ribosomal RNA", at positions 524 to 776 of the family's 1533-position model. The record is from RNAcentral.